Molecule: ribosomal RNA, 399 nt
Filed under: uncultured actinomycete
Lineage: Bacteria; Bacillati; Actinomycetota; Actinomycetes; Actinomycetales
Description: bacterial SSU rRNA
Rfam family: Bacterial small subunit ribosomal RNA
Source: RNAcentral
CCUGGGGAUAUUGGACAAUGGGCGGAAGCCUGAUCCAGCAACGCCGCGUGAGGGAUGACGGCCUUCGGGUUGUAAACCUCUUUCAGCAGGGACGAAGCGCAAGUGACGGUACCUGCAGAAGAAGCACCGGCCAACUACGUGCCAGCAGCCGCGGUAAUACGUAGGGUGCGAGCGUUGUCCGGAAUUAUUGGGCGUAAAGGGCUCGUAGGCGGUUUGUCGCGUCGGGAGUGAAAACCAGGUGCUUAACACCUGGCUUGCUUUCGAUACGGGCAGACUAGAGGUAUUCAGGGGAGAACGGAAUUCCUGGUGUAGCGGUGAAAUGCGCAGAUAUCAGGAGGAACACCGGUGGCGAAGGCGGUUCUCUGGGAAUGACCUGACGCUGAGGAGCGAAAGUAUGGG